Molecule: ribosomal RNA, 253 nt
Filed under: uncultured bacterium
Lineage: Bacteria
Description: partial 16S ribosomal RNA
Rfam family: Bacterial small subunit ribosomal RNA
Source: RNAcentral
UACGUAGGGCGCAAGCGUUGUCCGGAAUUAUUGGGCGUAAAGAGCUCGUAGGCGGUUUGUCGCGUCUGCUGUGAAAACCUAAGGCUCAACCUUGGGCUUGCAGUGGGUACGGGCAGACUAGAGUGCGGUAGGGGUGACUGGAAUUCCUGGUGUAGCGGUGGAAUGCGCAGAUAUCAGGAGGAACACCGGUGGCGAAGGCGGGUCUCUGGGCCGUUACUGACGCUGAGGAGCGAAAGCGUGGGGAGCGAACAGG